Molecule: ribosomal RNA, 253 nt
Filed under: uncultured bacterium
Lineage: Bacteria
Description: partial 16S ribosomal RNA
Rfam family: Bacterial small subunit ribosomal RNA
Source: RNAcentral
UACGUAGGGGGCAAGCGUUGUCCGGAAUCAUUGGGCGUAAAGCGCGUGUAGGCGGCUCGGUAAGUCCGCUCUGAAAGUCCAGGGCUCAACCCUGGGAUGCGGGUGGAUACUGCCGAGCUCGAGUCCGGAAGAGGCGAGUGGAAUUCCUGGUGUAGCGGUGAAAUGCGCAGAUAUCGGGAAGAACACCCGUGGCGAAGGCGGCUCUCUGGGACGGUACUGACGCUGAGACGCGAAAGCGUGGGGAGCGAACAGG